GUGAGAUUUAUAAGGGAAAAAAAUCAUUUUCAGAAUUUAAGAAUCAGAAUCUAAGACAUGAGACAAAAUAGUGUAGAAGCUGACAUUGCUGCUUGAAAAUAUGUCAACCUCUUGAGCAUUAAAGAACUUUUUUACCAUCAUUUUCUUAUCAUAAUUUCUGCAUAUUAAUAUUCAUAUAAAAUAGAGGAAGCACUAAAGUACAGUAGAGAGAGCUGUGUCUCAUUCGUCAAGUUUGCUAAUACAAUCUGCUGCUGGUUUGGAGUCACUGGGUUACAUGACAUGGAAGAUACUGCAAUUAUUUUAUAUUAAUAUAUUUAUGCAAAGUAAUUUAAUGACGGUCCCUAAAUCGGUCUCCAGUGAUUCAGCGAGUAAUGAUGAUACUAAUAGAUUUCAAGAUAACUUUGGGUGUAGUGCUUCACUGUGUGCAACUUAAAUUUGCCAUUUGCCCGCGAUAUUGAACCUACAAUAAUCAUGUUGUCGCGGUUGCGACGGUUGGGCUGCGGAGCAGUGCAGGUACAGAGGAGAAGUAGCGCGUGAGAAAAGGAUGAUACCAUUUGCUAAGCGGGGGUGUUUUCAUUUUCGUCCUUCACAUAUACAUUUUAAACCACCAACUACAGAGUAUGCUUUGGACAUAAUUUAACCUUGUCAAAGACGAACACAAAUUUUAGAAUAACAUCAUUUCUUACUCCAAGUUUUAGGGGUGCUGGAGCACCCCUAAAAAUGGGCUAGCCUCGCCCAUGCUUGAUUGUGAAUGAGACAGUUGUUAAUUGUCUGCAGACUGGGCCAGGUGUAGUUUAAACAGUACUGAUCACACACAGCAGCAGUUUUUGACUGUUUCUGGUUCGGGCAUAAAGGUCAAAGGUCUCCAGGACGCUGUCAGCUUUGCCAUGGGUGCAUCUGGAGAACACGAAGGCGUGAGUGCUCCUCACACACGCUGUUCCUCGCACCAGCCUCAGUGCCCAGGUCAGAGCUCGAUGGCACAGCGCGGCAACUCUGACACGACAGCGGCUGGAUACCAUCACGAUGGCAGGAAGCAGCGGGACAGAAAAAACCAUGAGCCACAUUUCAAAAUCUGUGAAGAAGACAGGAAGCCUCAGAAAUCUGUGGAUGACAGGAAAGAAGAAAUGAACAGUUUGUGACUGAGAGGGUGUUCCACUUUUCAGUUCUGUUUCUUAUCAAAUCCCAAAUCUGACACUUGCUGUAGGCUGAAUCACUGAUUAAAUGUAUGUGUUGAAAAAAACCCUCUAUGUUUGAAUGCAAUACUGACCUCUGGCACCCCCACUGAUACAGUACUCCUGAUUUCCUUCUUCUCAAUAAACAUUUUAAAGUAAA
This is a long non-coding RNA of Acanthopagrus latus (yellowfin seabream), 1332 nucleotides long. RefSeq lists it as uncharacterized. The transcript has 2 exons. NCBI's taxonomy places the organism in Eukaryota, Metazoa, Chordata, Actinopteri, Spariformes, Sparidae. The record is from RefSeq and is a predicted model, not a curated record.